RNAcentral lists this ribosomal RNA (497 nucleotides) under uncultured bacterium. RNAcentral's name for it is "partial 16S ribosomal RNA". It matches the Rfam family "Bacterial small subunit ribosomal RNA", at positions 28 to 507 of the family's 1533-position model. The record is from RNAcentral.
GAUGAACGCUGGCGGCGUGCCUAAUACAUGCAAGUCGAGCGAACAGACGAGGAGCUUGCUUCUCUGAUGUUAGCGGCGGACGGGUGAGUAACACGUGGAUAACCUACCUAUAAGACUGGGAUAACUUCGGGAAACCGGAGCUAAUACCGGAUAAUAUAUUGAACCGCAUGGUUCAAUAGUGAAAGACGGUCUUGCUGUCACUUAUAGAUGGAUCCGCGCUGCAUUAGCUAGUUGGUAAGGUAACGGCUUACCAAGGCAACGAUGCAUAGCCGACCUGAGAGGGUGAUCGGCCACACUGGAACUGAGACACGGUCCAGACUCCUACGGGAGGCAGCAGUAGGGAAUCUUCCGCAAUGGGCGAAAGCCUGACGGAGCAACGCCGCGUGAGUGAUGAAGGUCUUCGGAUCGUAAAACUCUGUUAUUAGGGAAGAACAAAUGUGUAAGUAACUGUGCACGUCUUGACGGUACCUAAUCAGAAAGCCACGGCUAACUACGUG